Molecule: ribosomal RNA, 253 nt
Filed under: uncultured Armatimonadota bacterium
Lineage: Bacteria; Bacillati; Armatimonadota
Description: uncultured Armatimonadetes bacterium partial 16S ribosomal RNA
Rfam family: Bacterial small subunit ribosomal RNA
Source: RNAcentral
UACGUAGGGGGCGAGCGUUGUCCGGAUUUACUGGGCGUAAAGCGCGUGUAGGUGGCGCCUUAAGUCGGGUGUGAAAGCCCGGGGCUCAACCCCGGGACGCCGCCCGAAACUGGGGCGCUUGAGGCCGGAAGAGGGGAGUGGAAUUCCUGGUGUAGCGGUGAAAUGCGUAGAGAUCAGGAGGAACACCCGUGGCGAAGGCGGCUCCCUGGUCCGGCCCUGACGCUGAGACGCGAAAGCGUGGGGAGCGAACGGG